RNAcentral lists this ribosomal RNA (1343 nucleotides) under uncultured bacterium. Its description in RNAcentral is "16S ribosomal RNA". It matches the Rfam family "Bacterial small subunit ribosomal RNA", at positions 28 to 1378 of the family's 1533-position model. The record is from RNAcentral.
GACGAACGCUGGCGGCGUGCUUAACACAUGCAAGUCGAACGGAAAGGCCCUGCUUUUGUGGGGUGCUCGUGUGGCGAACGGGUGAGUAACACGUGAGUAACCUGCCCUUGACUUUGGGAUAACUUCAGGAAACUGGGGCUAAUACCGGAUAGGAGCUCCUGCUGCAUGGUGGGGGUUGGAAAGUUUCGGCGGUUGGGGAUGGACUCGCGGCUUAUCAGCUUGUUGGUGGGGUAGUGGCUUACCAAGGCUUUGACGGGUAGCCGGCCUGAGAGGGUGACCGGCCACAUUGGGACUGAGAUACGGCCCAGACUCCUACGGGAGGCAGCAGUGGGGAAUAUUGCACAAUGGGCGGAAGCCUGAUGCAGCAACGCCGCGUGCGGGAUGACGGCCUUCGGGUUGUAAACCGCUUUCGCCUGUGACGAAGCGUGAGUGACGGUAAUGGGUAAAGAAGCACCGGCUAACUACGUGCCAGCAGCCGCGGUGAUACGUAGGGUGCGAGCGUUGUCCGGAUUUAUUGGGCGUAAAGGGCUCGUAGGUGGUUGAUCGCGUCGGAAGUGUAAUCUUGGGGCUUAACCCUGAGCGUGCUUUCGAUACGGGUUGACUUGAGGAAGGUAGGGGAGAAUGGAAUUCCUGGUGGAGCGGUGGAAUGCGCAGAUAUCAGGAGGAACACCAGUGGCGAAGGCGGUUCUCUGGGCCUUUCCUGACGCUGAGGAGCGAAAGCGUGGGGAGCGAACAGGCUUAGAUACCCUGGUAGUCCACGCUGUAAACGGUGGGUACUAGGUGUGGGGUCCAUUCCACGGGUUCCGUGCCGUAGCUAACGCUUUAAGUACCCCGCCUGGGGAGUACGGCCGCAAGGCUAAAACUCAAAGGAAUUGACGGGGCCCCGCACAAGCGGCGGAGCAUGCGGAUUAAUUCGAUGCAACGCGUAGAACCUUACCUGGGUUUGACAUGGAUCGGGAGCGCUCAGAGAUGGGUGUGCCUCUUUUGGGGUCGGUUCACAGGUGGUGCAUGGCUGUCGUCAGCUCGUGUCGUGAGAUGUUGGGUUAAGUCCCGCAACGAGCGCAACCCUUGUUCACUGUUGCCAGCACGUUAUGGUGGGGACUCAGUGGAGACCGCCGGGGUCAACUCGGAGGAAGGUGGGGAUGACGUCAAGUCAUCAUGCCCCUUAUGUCCAGGGCUUCACGCAUGCUACAAUGGCUGGUACAGAGAGUGGCGAGCCUGUGAGGGUGAGCGAAUCUCGGAAAGCCGGUCUCGGUUCGGAUUGGGGUCUGCAACUCGACCUCAUGAAGUCGGAGUCGCUAGUAAUCGCAGAUCAGCAACGCUGCGGUGAAUACGUUCCCGGG